CAGUUUACAUUUUUGGCUUUGGUC
RNAcentral lists this non-coding RNA (24 nucleotides) under Arabidopsis thaliana (thale cress). Lineage: Eukaryota; Viridiplantae; Streptophyta; Magnoliopsida; Brassicales; Brassicaceae. The record is from RNAcentral.